GUCAGGAUGGCCAAGUGGUCUAAGACGUCAGACUCAAGUUCUGGUCCUUGUGAGAGGGUGUGGGUUCAAAUCCCACUUCUGAUA
Molecule: transfer RNA, 84 nt
Filed under: Ipomoea nil (Japanese morning glory)
Lineage: Eukaryota; Viridiplantae; Streptophyta; Magnoliopsida; Solanales; Convolvulaceae
Rfam family: tRNA
About the family: Transfer RNA (tRNA) molecules are approximately 80 nucleotides in length.
Source: Rfam by way of RNAcentral